This 305-nucleotide ribosomal RNA is filed under the name uncultured bacterium. RNAcentral describes it as "bacterial SSU rRNA". It matches the Rfam family "Bacterial small subunit ribosomal RNA", at positions 337 to 656 of the family's 1533-position model. The record is from RNAcentral.
CCCUACGGGAGGCAGCAGUGGGGAAUAUUGCACAAUGGGCGAAAGCCUGAUGCCGCAACUCCGCUUUAAGUAAGAAGGGUUUCGGCUCGUAAACUUCUAUCACCAGGGACGAAAGAAAUGACGGUACCUGAAUAAGAAGCCCCGGCUAACUACGUGCCAGCAGCCGCGGUAAUACGUAGGGGGCGAGCGUUAUCCGGAAUUACUGGGUGUAAAGGGGGAGUAGGCGGCAUGGUAAACCAGAUGUGAAAGCCUUGGGCUUAACCCGAGGAUUGCAUUUGGAACUAUCAAGCUAGAGUACAGGAGAG